Molecule: ribosomal RNA, 301 nt
Filed under: uncultured bacterium
Lineage: Bacteria
Description: partial 16S ribosomal RNA
Rfam family: Bacterial small subunit ribosomal RNA
Source: RNAcentral
CACCGCCGCGGGAAUACGGAGGGUGCAAGCGUUAAUCGGAAUUACUGGGCGUAAAGCGCACGCAGGCGGUCUGACAAGUCAGAUGUGAAAUCCCCGGGCUUAACCUGGGAACUGCAUUUGAAACUGUCAGGCUGGAGUCUUGUAGAGGGGGGUGGAAUUCCAGGUGUAGCGGUGAAAUGCGUAGAGAUCUGGAGGAAUACCGGUGGCGAAGGCGGCCCCCUGGACAAAGACUGACGCUCAGGUGCGAAAGCGUGGGGAGCAAACAGGAUUAGAUACCCCUGUAGUCCCUGUCUCUUAUACA